GGGAUUAUAGCUCAGUAGUAGAGCGCUUGCUCAGCAUGUGCAAGAUCCUGGGUUCAAUUCCCAGUACCCA
Molecule: transfer RNA, 70 nt
Filed under: Cricetulus griseus (Chinese hamster)
Lineage: Eukaryota; Metazoa; Chordata; Mammalia; Rodentia; Cricetidae
Rfam family: tRNA
About the family: Transfer RNA (tRNA) molecules are approximately 80 nucleotides in length. Their secondary structure includes four short double-helical elements and three loops (D, anti-codon, and T loops).
Source: Rfam by way of RNAcentral